This 395-nucleotide ribosomal RNA is filed under the name uncultured bacterium. RNAcentral describes it as "partial 16S ribosomal RNA". It matches the Rfam family "Bacterial small subunit ribosomal RNA", at positions 523 to 918 of the family's 1533-position model. The record is from RNAcentral.
AUACGUAGGGUGCAAGCGUUAAUCGGAAUUACUGGGCGUAAAGCGUGCGCAGGCGGUUUUGUAAGACAGUGGUGAAAUCCCCGGGCUCAACCUGGGAACUGCCAUUGUGACUGCAAGGCUGGAGUGCGGCAGAGGGGGAUGGAAUUCCGCGUGUAGCAGUGAAAUGCGUAGAUAUGCGGAGGAGCACCGAUGGCGAAGGCAAUCCCCUGGGCCUGCACUGACGCUCAUGCACGAAAGCGUGGGGAGCAAACAGGAUUAGAUACCCUGGUAGUCCACGCCCUAAACGAUGUCAACUGGUUGUUGGGGAUUUAUUUUCUCAGUAACGAAGCUAACGCGUGAAGUUGACCGCCUGGGGAGUACGGCCGCAAGGUUAAAACUCAAAUGAAUUGACGGGG